This is a long non-coding RNA of Falco peregrinus (peregrine falcon), 1375 nucleotides long. RefSeq lists it as uncharacterized. The record is from RefSeq and is a predicted model, not a curated record. The transcript has 11 exons. NCBI's taxonomy places the organism in Eukaryota, Metazoa, Chordata, Aves, Falconiformes, Falconidae.
CCCCGGCCCCUCUGCUUCUGCCAAGUGGAAUAAACGCCCGGUUUACCGGCAAAUAUUCACCCUUCCGACACCGAACGGGAGGCCGCCCCCCCCCCCCCCCCCUUGCCGGGCCGGCACCCCCGUCGGAGGCGGGCCGGGGUCCGGCCCCGCGGCCGCCAGCGCUCCCGGCGGCACCCGCCCCCAACUUCCUGUGCUUAUGUAACAGCUCUCCAGAGGAAGCUGCUCACAAGCCCAUCUGAUAUUUCGUGCCAGCUGUUUCAGUGGAGGCGUGCUGGAUCAGACUGAGCUCCACCUUCUUCGUUGAGCAAAACAUUUGGAAAAUGACACAGCCUGAAGAAAAAUAGGAAUUGAAAACCUGGCUCGAGAUUUCCUCAUGAACCAGUCUGCUCCUCUGCAUCUGUAGGAAGGGACAGGCAUCCAGCCUGGAUCUCAGCUGCAAACUUUGCCUGGGACACCAAAUAAUCUACUGACAUUUUGGAACUCCAGGAGAAGACCAGAAUGUUUCCACCAGCAAAGGUCUCUUGGAAUUGUUAAAAGAAGACUGGAACAGUGCUGGUUCUUGCACUUUCUUAAGCCUAAGAAAUGUUGAGGCCAGAAACAGCUUAUUCUUUAACUUCCCAUUGGAGACUGAACAUGGCAUGUCUAUCUUCAAAAUCCAGCCUUUCUCCAGCACAUCUGCCAGUAGUGGACGUUGACCUUCUCUUUCCUGCUGUGGGCAGACGUCAUUCAGUUCAGGAAAUAUCAGGGAGAUGACACAGAGCUGGCUUGGCUCAGCAACUGUGACCCUACAAGACAUGGUCUUGAAAAUCUUACUGUGCUAUAAAGCCAGGAUCUCUGUCCGGACAUUUCCAUUGCAUGCAGUCUUUGGCAUGUUUAGCAAGCAUGGGGAGCUGAUGGCAGAAGAACAAGGAUAUUUGCUGGCAAAUCAGCUUGUGAAGGAAAUGGAAGAGGAGUGAUCAGCUCUGGCUUCUGAUGCUGCUGUGGCUUCAUAGGAAGAUUCUGAAGAAGAUCUAGAAAUCCUUUGGCCAAUUGAACUCCACCCAGACCUCUGCCUCUGGAAGAUGGCUUUAUCCGUGGGUGAGCACUGGUUGGACAUGCUUGGUCAGUCUGAAUCUGGAAGGGCCACAAGACUGAGGGAAGGAAAAGUGUGUUUCUUCUGCUUCCUGUCUUACACAGGUAGUGACUGAAAACAUGAAGGUACCUUCAAGAAUAAAGUGGUUGUAUCAAAAAGAGGUCGAAGUGCUGUUGUUGCGGCUUGGUGAGUUCAUAUUCAACCUUCCUCUUCCAAGCACUUGUGUCUUUGGUGCUGUUGAAAUGGCAAAAGAAGCUGGCAAGUAUCUAUGGUUACACUGCUUGUUCUUUUAAAGAAUUAAAA